RNAcentral lists this ribosomal RNA (253 nucleotides) under uncultured bacterium. RNAcentral's name for it is "partial 16S ribosomal RNA". It matches the Rfam family "Bacterial small subunit ribosomal RNA", at positions 524 to 776 of the family's 1533-position model. The record is from RNAcentral.
UACGGAGGGGGCUAGCGUUGUUCGGAAUUACUGGGCGUAAAGCGCACGUAGGCGGCUUUGUAGGUUAGAGGUGAAAGCCCAGAGCUCAACUCUGGAAUUGCCUUUAAGACUGCAUCGCUUGAAUCAUGGAGAGGUGAGUGGAAUUCCGAGUGUAGAGGUGAAAUUCGUAGAAAUUCGGAAGAACACCAGUGGCGAAGGCGACUCACUGGACAUGUAUUGACGCUGAGGUGCGAAAGCGUGGGGAGCAAACAGG